RNAcentral lists this microRNA precursor (61 nucleotides) under Caenorhabditis brenneri. RNAcentral describes it as "microRNA cbn-mir-250 precursor (cbn-mir-250-1, cbn-mir-250-2)". Its record names the gene cbn-mir-250-1. It matches the Rfam family "mir-250 microRNA precursor family", at positions 11 to 73 of the family's 81-position model. The record is from miRBase by way of RNAcentral. Lineage: Eukaryota; Metazoa; Nematoda; Chromadorea; Rhabditida; Rhabditidae.
CCGGCAGUUGCCUGUUGAUCCGCCGCAAUUAUGAUGGACGAAUCACAGUCAACUGUUGGCA